Molecule: long non-coding RNA, 436 nt
Filed under: Mus musculus (house mouse)
Lineage: Eukaryota; Metazoa; Chordata; Mammalia; Rodentia; Muridae
Description: long non-coding RNA chr9:68835340-68835776
Source: RNAcentral
AGGCCUCCAGGGAAUUCCCACACCCUCUACUCUCUGCAGGCUCCUAUUCAAAACCUCUAUCUGGAGCUGGGGAGACAGCUCAGUUGGCAAAGUGCUUGUCAUACAAGAGCGAAAACCCCAAGUUUGAUCUCCAGAACCAAAACAGAAAAGCCAGGCUUGGUGCCAUAUGUUUGUAAUCUUGAUGCCACAGAGGCAGAAAGGAACAGUCGCCUGGUUGGGGCUUGCUGCGCAGUCAGCCUAACUAAUUUAGCAAGUUCCAGGCGAGUGACCACAACUUGUCUCAAACGACAAAGCAGGUGGUUUUGGAAAAAUUACUCCAGAGGUUGGCUUUUGUAUUUAUUCACAGGAGCACAUGCACACACACACACACACACACACACACACACACACACACACACACAUCCUGGCAUAUAUACAUGUACACGCACACGUGUGA